RNAcentral lists this ribosomal RNA (456 nucleotides) under uncultured bacterium. RNAcentral describes it as "bacterial SSU rRNA". It matches the Rfam family "Bacterial small subunit ribosomal RNA", at positions 29 to 507 of the family's 1533-position model. The record is from RNAcentral.
AUUGAACGCUGGCGGAAUGCUUUACACAUGCAGGUCGAGCGGCAGCGCGGGGCAACCUGGCGGCGAGCGGCGAACGGGUGAGUAAUGCAUCGGAACGUGCCCAAUCGUGGGGGAUAACGUAGCGAAAGUUACGCUAAUACCGCAUAAGCCCUGAGGGGGAAAGUGGGGGCCGCAAGGCCUCACGCGAAUGGAGCGGCCGAUGUCAGAUUAGCUAGUUGGUGGGGUAAAGGCCCACCAAGGCGACGAUCUGUAGCGGGUCUGAGAGGAUGAUCCGCCACACUGGGACUGAGACACGGCCCAGACUCCUACGGGAGGCAGCAGUGGGGAAUUUUGGACAAUGGGCGCAAGCCUGAUCCAGCCAUGCCGCGUGAGUGAUGAAGGCCUUAGGGUUGUAAAGCUCUUUUGCCGGGGAUGAUAAUGACCGUACCCGGAGAAUAAGCCACGGCUAAAUUCGUG